This 253-nucleotide ribosomal RNA is filed under the name uncultured bacterium. Its description in RNAcentral is "partial 16S ribosomal RNA". It matches the Rfam family "Bacterial small subunit ribosomal RNA", at positions 524 to 776 of the family's 1533-position model. The record is from RNAcentral.
UACGGAGGGAGCUAGCGUUGUUCGGAAUUACUGGGCGUAAAGCGCGCGUAGGCGGCUUUGUAAGUUAGAGGUGAAAGCCCGGGGCUCAACCCCGGAACUGCCUUUAAGACUGCAUCGCUUGAAUCCGGGAGAGGUGAGUGGAAUUCCGAGUGUAGAGGUGAAAUUCGUAGAUAUUGGGAAGAACACCGAUGGCGAAGGCAGCCAUCUGGACCGACACUGACGCUGAGGCGCGAAAGCGGGGGGAGCAAACAGG